ACUUAAUAAAUUUAAAGCACUUAUAUAAACUAACAUAUUGGGUUAGUGUUUCUACCUCUUAACCAAUUAAGAGACUAUAAGUUUUUUUAGUCAAAUU
RNAcentral lists this non-coding RNA (97 nucleotides) under Spiroplasma taiwanense. RNAcentral describes it as "Guanine sequence". The stretch from base 19 to 82 matches the Rfam family "2dG-I riboswitch aptamer (M. florum)". Lineage: Bacteria; Bacillati; Mycoplasmatota; Mollicutes; Entomoplasmatales; Spiroplasmataceae. The record is from RNAcentral.